Ursus maritimus (polar bear) is the source of this 1810-nucleotide long non-coding RNA. NCBI's taxonomy places the organism in Eukaryota, Metazoa, Chordata, Mammalia, Carnivora, Ursidae. The record is from Ensembl.
GAACUAACGAAUGCUCCAUUUCUCCUAUUUUCUCCAAAUAUGACACAAUGAAGAAAAAUCACCACUUUUUGUCCACAGAUGGCCUCCUGUGCCUCUUUCUGAAACAAGAUGGGAGGUUAGAUCGCGAGACGCAUGUGAAUUCGUUUGUACCACGAACCUUACAUCCUAAUAGUUUCCUUUCUACAUUCCUGAGGAAGAUCGCCAUGUUCUGCAGUCCCGGAUUCCUAUGUGCUACCAGCAGAGAGCACCCCUCACCCUGGCAAGUGUCUUGAUGCUGAUCCCUGCACCGGUAGCUGUGGCCAGGGUGCGAGUGGGGCCAAAUCUCUUACUGGCCAGGCCUGGGCCAGGUGCUAACUUCUGGCCGUGGGACCUACAGGAAUCUGACAGAUUAGAGUCUCAGCUGAACAUUCAGAGGGAGGGAUUCGGAGUCUAUGCACGUCCCAGAAAGUGGGGAGGAGGAGGAGAGCGAUGUUUGCCAAGUCGCAUGGAAAAUUGCCCUUGAGCUUCUCCAAACACCGUAUGCCAGGAGGCCCAGCUUGAUAACCGGUAGAACUGGGGCCCUGACUGGCUAAGCAGGCCACUCAGGAUGGCUGGGAGGACCUGGUGGCCUGGCUUCCCUCCCAGGAGCUGGGCCCAUGGGCUGGUGAGGGCUCCGUGAGUGCAGAUCAGGCUCUGAGGGAUAACCCUCUCAGGCAACCCUCUGCUGGUGAGGGUGUAAGAUGAAGAGGAAACAUGACUGAUGGGUUCGGGAAGUUCCCAGCCCGACCAGAGAGAAGUAACAAGCCAAGAUCGAGGCUGUACUUUGGGGCAUUGGGCUUGAUGCGCCGGUCCCUGGUCCCUGUCGGAGAGACAGCAUGCCAGCCCCCUCUAUGCGGGGGAUUAAGUUUGUCCCACGCUGUCUUUACUUGUGUUGUCCACUCGAUUAUUUCUGCCCUUGGAGUCCCAGCCCAUUCUGACCACAAAGCCUGCGGCACGACCCACUGCACCUAGGAGCCCCAGCACGGCGCCUGCCCCGACAAGAGAACCGUCCCUUCUCACUCUGGCCCAGCCCCUCAUCUGCCUGGAAGGCCCCCCAGGCAAGGCUGGUACAGGCUCUCUUGGUGGAAUCUCUGCUGGAGGGAAAGGUCCCAGGGAAGCCUGAGCCCAAAAUGAGGAGUAAGGUUGGUUCCCGCAGGGGCCUCCUGGGGGGAAUCUUCUGCAGGCGUCACCAUUUCCAAAUACUCAUCACCAAGGCUGGGAAAAGGCCAGUGCAGGAGAAAGUGGCAGAGAGCCGGGGGUGAGGAAGUGAGAGCAGAUGGAGGCAAGAAAAGUAGAAGACAGCGCUGAGCAGCCCCGAGCCAGCCAGCCCAGCGGUGGGAGAAGACAGCGCUGAGCAGCCCCGAGCCAGCCAGCCCAGCGGAUGUGGGGACACCAAGCCACACCCUGCUGGACGGUCCCCUGGCAGCUUGCAGGAGAACCUCGGCCCAGCACUGUCUGAACCAGCAGCCCACCAGUGAGCUCCUGGGGCUUGAUGAGGCCAUCGGAUGAGCCAGCCUCCUCCUCGCCCCUCUUCCUCUGUCCCCCACCUUGCAGUGCACUUCUCCCUGCUCCCUCCUGUGUCAUGCCUCCGCCUCCUCCCCUGAGCUGGCCUCCUCUCACACAGCUUAAUGGUGCCGAGCCUGUUUGCGCAAUGAACUGCCAGUGCUUGGUGUUUAAGACCGGCAGGCACUCCCACAGGGGUCCUUCUUGAUCUUUCUGCUGCUACUGAGAAGACGGAUUGUCCUGGCAAGUUCUUAAUAAACAUUUAAUGAAUGAACGGAUUAACGAAUGA